UGGGGAAUAUUGCGCAAUGGGGGAAACCCUGACGCAGCAACGCCGCGUGAAGGAUGAAGGUUUUCGGAUUGUAAACUUCUUUGAUGAGGGACGAUAAUGACGGUACCUCAAAAACAAGCCACGGCUAACUACGUGCCAGCAGCCGCGGUAAUACGUAGGUGGCGAGCGUUGUCCGGAAUUACUGGGUGUAAAGGGCGUGUAGGCGGGAAUGCAAGUCAGAUGUGAAAUUCCGGGGCUUAACCUCGGCGCUGCAUCUGAAACUGUGUUUCUUGAGUGCUGGAGAGGAAAGCGGAAUUCCUAGUGUAGCGGUGAAAUGCGUAGAUAUUAGGAGGAACACCAGUGGCGAAGGCGGCUUUCUGGACAGUAACUGACGCUGAGGCGCGAAAGCGUGGGGAGCAAACAGG
Molecule: ribosomal RNA, 404 nt
Filed under: uncultured prokaryote
Also listed under: 1 other name
Description: bacterial SSU rRNA
Rfam family: Bacterial small subunit ribosomal RNA
Source: RNAcentral